Molecule: ribosomal RNA, 816 nt
Filed under: Triticum aestivum (bread wheat)
Lineage: Eukaryota; Viridiplantae; Streptophyta; Magnoliopsida; Poales; Poaceae
Description: partial small subunit ribosomal RNA
Source: RNAcentral
AUGGCAUCCUCCUCUUCCUUUCUCCUCCUUGCUACACUUCUUGCGGUAGUCUCAUGGCAGGCCAAUGCUUCUGAUCCUAGCCCACUCCAGGACUUUUGUGUUGCCGACAUGAAUUCACCAGGUACUUUCCGUUUUGUUAUCAUGUUUUCACCAAAUACAUAUGUUGAAAUCAAUUUCUGGAAAUUAUAUGCAAGUCAAUACAACUUUGUAAAAUCUGAGCUUACAUGUACGUCUCUUGUGCCCCCAGUCCGUGUCAAUGGGCUUGUUUGCAAGAACCCGAUGGAGGUCAACGCAGACGACUUCUUCAAGGCGGCCAACCUCGACAAGCCUAGGAUGCCUAAUAAGGUUGGAUCCAACGUCACUUUGAUAAACGUCAUGCAGAUUGCUGGACUCAACACCCUCGGCAUCUCAAUUGCACGCAUCGACUAUGCUCCAUUGGGUCAAAACCCACCACAUACGCACCCUCGCGCCACUGAGAUCCUCACGGUGCUUGAGGGAACAUUGUACGUAGGCUUUGUGACAUCCAACCAGCCCGCCCCAAACAAAAACAAGUUCCUCUCCAAGGUGCUCAACAAAGGUGAUGUGUUUGUCUUCCCCGUGGGGCUCAUCCACUUCCAAUUCAACCCCAACCCCCACCAGCCCGCUGUUGCAAUUGCCGCGCUAAGUAGCCAGAACCCAGGGGCUAUCACAAUUGCCAAUGCUGUGUUUGGGUCAGACCCACCAAUAUCAGAUGAUGUUCUUGCCAAGGCAUUUCAGGUGGAAAAGAAAACAAUAGACUAUCUCCAGGCUCAAUUCUGGGAGAACAACCACUACUAA